This 431-nucleotide ribosomal RNA is filed under the name uncultured bacterium. RNAcentral's name for it is "bacterial SSU rRNA". It matches the Rfam family "Bacterial small subunit ribosomal RNA", at positions 355 to 786 of the family's 1533-position model. The record is from RNAcentral.
UGAGGAAUAUUGGUCAAUGGGCGGGAGCCUGAACCAGCCAAGCCGCGUGAGGGAGGAAGGCCCUAUGGGUCGUAAACCUCUUUUGUCAGGGAACAAAAGCGAGUAUGUAUACUAGUCUGAGUGUACCUGAAGAAAAAGCAUCGGCUAACUCCGUGCCAGCAGCCGCGGUAAUACGGAGGAUGCGAGCGUUAUCCGGAUUUAUUGGGUUUAAAGGGUGCGUAGGCGGCGGUGCAAGUCAGCGGUAAAAGCCCGGGGCUCAACCCCGGCGAGCCGUUGAAACUGCAGUGCUAGAGAAGGCGAGAGGUACGCGGAAUGCGCAGUGUAGCGGUGAAAUGCUUAGAUAUUGCGCAGAACUCCGAUUGCGAAGGCAGCGUACUGGCGCCUGACUGACGCUGGGCACGAAAGCGUGGGGAUCGAACAGAUUAGAUACC